This is a long non-coding RNA of Sarcophilus harrisii (Tasmanian devil), 896 nucleotides long. RefSeq lists it as uncharacterized. Lineage: Eukaryota; Metazoa; Chordata; Mammalia; Dasyuromorphia; Dasyuridae. The record is from RefSeq and is a predicted model, not a curated record. The transcript is spliced from 4 exons.
UCCAAGCAGGAGACCAGUUAUAAGAAUUUUCCCCCCUCUGGCAAGGGGAGGGGGACAAAGGGUUGGAUCCCUCCUGAGUCCAAUGCCAAUGGAACAUUCCUCUGUUGGCCCAGCUGGGCUUGGCCAUUGAAGCUCUCUAAUGAAUAAGGAGGCGUGAUCUAGGGUGUGACUGGUGCUGCCUCCUGCUGCCUCCUGCUAUCAGAGUUGUAAAUGCUGAUAAUGUUCCUUUAAGUGAGGAAGAGGGAGACACUACAUCUGAAAUGAGAUGUUAAGAAGGCUAGAAUUGGGGGAACCUGUCCAUCUUUUCAAGCAUCUGAUAGACAACUUUGACACCUGAUCUCGGGGGACCUUAUGGAGUCACUCAGAGUUCUUAAGAGACUUCCCUUACUUUAUCAUUCUGGAAGGAAUUGUCACAGGUGAAUGUAUCGCACUUUCUCAGGAGCUGAACCUGACCCUUGAAUCCAUUUCAUUUGCACCAUGGGUUUGACUGUGAAUUAAAAUGGAUUAAGUUGGCUUAAUGCUGUUUUACAAGCAAGCUGCAAGACUCGGCACUAUUCAUUUUUAAUUUUAAUCCUUUGUCUUAGCCUGUUAAUUACUAUUGUUUUAAGUUCAUUAUCCUCAGUCUGCACGGGAUGCAAAUGCUUGUAAGCUGUGUCCUUACUUUUGCAGGUACUGACCCUUGAAUUGUUGAAGGAGCCCAUGUCAUUGCACAACAGCAGACUCUGUAAUCUACAAUUCACUCUUUAAAUUUUUAUUCUUUGCUUGUCUUUAAUUAAUUGAGCAAUAACCCAAUUGAAGCAUCUGAUGUACAGACUCACAAGUUCAAAAAUAGUUUUUAAUGAGACAGUAAAAUAGGGAAUUAGAAAUGGUGACUUCUUCAACUUCCUCUAACAAAC